UGCACCGAGCCGAGAUCGCACCACUGCACUCCAGCCUGGCGACAGAGUGAGUCUCAGUCUCAAAAACAAAACAAAACAAAAAAGUAUUUAAACCCUAUGACAAGUUACUAUUAGGGAUGUUAACAUUGCAUUGAAGAGUGGCUGCAGAUUCAAAAUAAUAUAUUUGGUAUUUUUAAGGUAUGCUCUUUUUCAUAGAGUAAAUCUAAACAACUGAGAUAUUUGCUGAAAAGUUGAUCGAUUCAAGAUAUAUAACACAUGAAGACAGUUUUCUAAAAUCCUCAAUGUAAUUAAGUGUAAAGACAAAGAACUUUAUUCUGUCACAUGCAUCUAGCAAUAGGACGAAAUAAAGACAUAUCAACUGCAGUGUAUUUUAAAAAACAUAUUCUUUCCCCAUAAACACAUUUUACAUAUGUGAAUGCGUCAGUCCUGAUCAUUACAGAAUCCUAAAGAGGACUGAUGAGUACAGGGAGGCAGAGAAGGAGGAUAUUAAAUUCUUCAUUUAAAAUAGUUGUAUAUGUUCUCGAAUUUCUAUUAACCUGAAUCACCAGAGAGAGGUGUCAAGAGAAAGAUUACUUAGCUGAAACCCACAGAGAACUGUUAUCUAUUAGUAACAAAUUAAUUACAUUUGCUGAAUUAAAUGGAGUAUAAUUAUAUGUAAGCCUAAAAUAAGAAUUUUCAAGUCACAUAAUGGAAAAUUUUUAUAGGUGAAAAAUGCAAAAUCGUUAGAUGUCAUUUGACAGGAAUUAUUAGUGCCUACAUACAAUGUACACUUCUAGGUAUAACACAUUUUUUUUAACCGUAAAUGUUCUAACCCACAUAGUAUGGUCCUAAAUCUAAAUUCCAGAGAAGCGAAAAAGACAGCUCAUACCUAAAUGUUGAGGAAGUUUUUCUAAGGAAGAUUUGGACUUGAUUGGUGAUGGAAGAGAUAUAGGAUUUAAAUUAAUGCAAAAGAUCCACAGUAGUAAUGCCAGGAAACGUACCUGGGAACUAAUAAGUUUACCACAUUUAUUUUUCUAUCCUUUAAUAUUCAAGAAAUGUGUUUACUACCUUUGAUAUCCCUCACCUCCCGAAGUGAAACUCGUUAAUUUUCUCACUAAUAGUGAUAAGAACAAUGGAAUGAAGCCAGUUCACCAAUCAUCAAAAGAAAGUCACUGAAAACAAAUUUGUUGACCUAUGUAUUGUUGGUGUCAGAGGAAAAGGGGUCAAGCGAGGAAAGCUGAAAAGUGCUGGCGAGUGAGUGGAGAGUUAAAAGGAAGCGCAGGGUCACACUCAGAGACUGCUUUCUUACAGUGUCAGCAGUCUCUUUGGUCUUCUAUGCCUCUCCUUAAGUUCUCUCAAGAGCCGUUCUCUUCAAGAUCCAGGUGCUUCUGCUGUUCUACUCAAUUGUUAAAAGAAAGAAAGAAAGAAAGCGUCAUAAUUUUUGAGAAGAUUGGAAUCACCAGGACUUGUUUUCUUACCCAUUUCUCUCUUACUUCUAUAAUACUCAUAUUCUGUGGCUUUAGCAAAGUCCUCCUACUCUGAGAUUAAAAACUCUAAUUUGUAACUUAGGCCAUUAUAAAAUGUAUGCUAGAGGACUACUCUGGUUUUUAAACAUGGUACUUAUAAAUACAGCAUUAUUAGAAGUCAAGAAUGUUUCCAACUUCUGUGUUUGUCAUGUAUGUGUCUAGGCCUCUAUCGUAAACUGCUUUACCCUUGACCUCUAGCUACGUUUUCUCCUCCUCCUUCUAAUUGCACCAAGCUUUCUUCUUAGGUCAUUGCAAGCUGUCCUACUUCUUCCCUGGUACACUUAUGUUCUGUAUACUUGGACUGCCUGCCUGUUCUCAAGUUUAUUUCUCAUCCUUAUUUGGAAAGUACAGAACUUGAGAAUGGUAAACAAAAUCGACAUUCUUUGUUAUUUGGUAGGCAAGUAACUAAUUUAAGACUUAAAACAGAAGUAUAAAUUAUUAUAACAGUUAUAAGUGGUUGAGUGCCAAUUUUGUGCUUUUAGCUGUAGAAAAGAAAAUCAUUUUCUUACAAAACUGUGACUAUACACUGUUGGUAAUAAAAUAUUCAUGCUAAUCAUGUUCAUAAGAUUGUAACAGAAAUGCUGAUAUUCUAAUAUCUCCAUUUCUCCCCCUAUGGUACUUAGUAAACUAUGGAACUAGAUACUAGUCUAGAGCAUUUUUUUCUUUCUCAUAUUAUAUUAUAGGUCAUUUUAAUACUAAUUGUAACUAAAAAGUAAGCAUUUUCUAAAACUAUUUCUAUUACCAAUGAAAAAUUGUGUUGAAUGCUAAUACUAAUUAUUUGUCAGUGGUAACCUUUUGUUAAAAGAAUUCGUUUGUUCAUACUAGGCAGGACAGAAACUGAACCGGCAAGAGAGACAGAUAAAUCUAAAUUUCUGCAGCACUUUUUUCUCUCAAUAUAAAUAUUUAAUUAUGUAAUGAGAAAUUCUUAUGAAAAAUUGUGACAUACAAUGGGAUUGAUUCUUUCUCUGUAAGUAGGGCACUAGUCAUGUAUCUGAGAAAGAAAUUAAAACUUUUAAAGUAUUUUUAAGUGAUGGAUCUAUUCUAGGCACUUUAAAAUAUUCUCUUUAAUUGUCACUGUACCCUACAAACUAGAUAUUAUCAUCCCUAUUUCACAGAUGAGUAAUUAAGGUGAAAUAACUUGCCCACAGCUGCACAGUUAAUACUAGGAAGAGCCAGAGGUAUGACACAGGGCUGAUUCUAAAGCUCAUGUCCUUUCCAUCUUCUUAAAAUAGGCCCCUCUGCUCAUUCUUCAGGAGAAAAUCAGCCUUGCAAUAUAUUAUAAUACCUACCACGAGAGCCUUGUGGUUUGGUGGAUAAGGAUGUGGGAUCUGAGGUUAAACUGAAUUUGGAGCUCAAUCCUGUCACUCAUUGAUUGUGUAAUCUUGAACAUUACUUGAUGUCUCUGUGCUUCAAUUUCAUCAUCUGUAAAAAAGGGGUGAUAACAAUAAUAUCCACUUAGUAGUGUGGUUUGUAAGGACUACAUGAGGGAAUACACAUAAAGUUCUCAAUAAAGUGGUCAAUACAUAGUGUUCAAUGGACAUUUUCCAGGAGUUUGUUCUCCCUAUAAAAGUUGGUCUUUUUGUGGGUAGAGAAAAGAUGUAUGGGUUGUAAAUUCCUUUCUUCUUAGCCACUUAUGUCUGGCUGAUUUGGAAAUCACUGCUUGUUUUAGAUCCCUGCCAGAUUUUACAUGUUCAUUUUUUGUUCCUUUCAUGCAUCGUAGAAGAUUAAAAAUGCCCAUAAAUUAUUUGCUAAUUCACCCUUUGAGAAGAUUUUCCUUCUCUUGAAUAUAUGCUAGACUUAGUGACUUACUUGAUAAACAGAAUAUUGCAGAGUGGGACUUUUAAGGCUAAAUAAAAGGAGUCUUGCAUCUUUUGUCCACAUCUCUUUGAAUGCUUCUCUGGGAGUCCUCAACCAUCAGGUGAGAAGUCUGACCGCCUUGAAAUGUUGGAAAGGCCAUGUGUAGGCACUCUGGUCAUCAGAUCCAGCUAAGUCCAGUUUUCCAGUCAUCCCUGCCAAGGUGUCAGACAUCCAAGGAAAGCUGUCUUGGACCCUCCAGACCGAUCUGGAUAUCACUGAAGAUGCUUAGUUGACAGAAUAGUCUCCCAGCUGAGCCCUGCUUUAAUUCCUGACCCCCAAAAUUAUGAGAUAUAAUGAAAUGGUUGUUGUUUUAAGCCACUACAUUUUGGGGUAAUUUGUUACAUAGCACUCGAUAACUGAAACAUGCAUUUAUUUAUUUUCAAUGAAACUCUUGUGCAAAAAACUGUUCUAGGUAGUGGGGAAUGAUGCAUCUAUGAACAACUUUAGCAUGAUCACUGAUCUCAUGAAGGUUACUGUCUUAGCCAGGGUUCUCCAGAGAAACAGAACCAACAAGAUAAGUAUAUACAGAUAUGUAUACAUAAAAGGAGAUUUAUUAUAGGAAUUGGUUCACAUAGUUAUGGAGGUCAAGAAGUCCAACAAUCUGCUGUUUGCAAGCUGAGGAACAAAGAAAGCCAGUGGUGGAAUUUAGUCAGAGGCCAAAGACCUGAGAAUUGGGGUAUGUGUGAGGGAAUGAGCAGAUAGUGUAAAUCCCAGUCUGAGUCAGAAAUCUCAAGAACCAGGAACACCAAUGUCCAAGUGUAGGAGAAAAUGGAUGUCUUAGCUCAAACUGAGAAGAAAAUUCACCCUUCCUUUGCCUUUUUAUUCUAUUCAGACCCUCAAUAGAUUGGAUAAUGCCCGUUCACAUUGGGGAGAGUCAUCUGCUGUACUCAGAUUGCCAGUUCAAAUGCAAAUAUUGCUAAUACCUACUAUUUGAAUUAAAAUUCCUUUAAGAUUCA
Nomascus leucogenys (northern white-cheeked gibbon) is the source of this 4318-nucleotide long non-coding RNA. RefSeq lists it as uncharacterized. NCBI's taxonomy places the organism in Eukaryota, Metazoa, Chordata, Mammalia, Primates, Hylobatidae. The transcript has 3 exons. The record is from RefSeq and is a predicted model, not a curated record.